Molecule: ribosomal RNA, 253 nt
Filed under: uncultured bacterium
Lineage: Bacteria
Description: partial 16S ribosomal RNA
Rfam family: Bacterial small subunit ribosomal RNA
Source: RNAcentral
UACGAAUGGGGCAAGCGUUGUUCGGAAUCACUGGGCUUAAAGCGUGCGUAGGCGGAUUUGCAAGUCAGAAGUGAAAUCCCAGGGCUUAACCCUGGAAUUGCUUUUGAAACUGCAAAUCUAGAAGAUUGAAGAGGUUAGCAGAAUUCCGAGUGUAGAGGUGAAAUUCGCAGAUAUUCGGAGGAAUACCAAUGGCGUAGGCAGCUAACUGGGCAAUUUUUGACGCUGAGGCACGAAAGCGUGGGGAGCAAACAGG